GGCAUCGCGUGCAGCUUGCAUGCCUGCAGGUCGACGAUUUUCUGGUUGAUCCUGCCGGAGGUCACUGCUAUUGGGAUUCGACUAAGCCAUGCGAGUCGCGAGGGUUCGGCCCUCGGCUGACGGCUCAGUAACACGCGGAUAAUCUGCCCUUAGGUGGAGGAUAACCUCGGGAAACUGAGAAUAAGACUCCAUAGCUCUAGGAUGCUGGAAUGCACUUAGAUCAAAAACUUCGGUGCCUAAGGAUGAGUCUGCGGACUAUCAGGUAGUAGUCAGGGUAAUGACCUGACCAGCCUAUGACGGAUACGGGUUGUGAGAGCAAUAACCCGGAGAUGAUAUCUGAGACACGAUAUCAGGCCCUAUGGGGCGCAGCAGGCGCGAAAACUUCACACUGUGCGAAAGCACGAUGAGGGAAUCCCAAGUGCUGGCUCGUAAGAGUCAGCUGUUUUUCUGUCUAGAAAACAGAGAGAGUAAGAGCUGGGUAAGACGGGUGCCAGCCGCCGCGGUAAUACCUGCAGCUCAAGUGGUGGCCGCUAUUAUUGGGCCUAAAACGUUCGUAGCCGGUCUAGUAAAUGCCUGGGUAAAUCAUACGGCUUAACCGUACGAAUUCCGGGUAGACUGCUGGACUUGGGACUGGGAGAGGCUAGAGGUACUCCUGGGGUAGAGGUGAAAUUCUGUAAUCCUAGGGGGACGACCAGUGGCGAAGGCGUCUAGCUAGAACAGGUCUGACGGUGAGGAACGAAGCCCUGGGGCGCAAACGGGAUUAGAUACCCCGGUAGUCCAGGGUGUAAACGCUGCUUGCUUGAUGUUAGUCGGGCUCCGAGCCCGAUUAGUGUCGGAGAGAAGUUGUUAAGCAAGCUGCCUGGGGAGUACGGCCGCAAGACUGAAACUUAAAGGAAUUGGCGGGGGAGCACCGCAACGGGUGGAGCGUGCGGUUUAAAUGGAUUCAACG
RNAcentral lists this ribosomal RNA (949 nucleotides) under uncultured archaeon. RNAcentral's name for it is "bacterial SSU rRNA". It matches the Rfam family "Archaeal small subunit ribosomal RNA", at positions 1 to 917 of the family's 1478-position model. The record is from RNAcentral.